GCAAAGGCUCGGUGGUCCGGGGCAGGGUGUCUGCCAGAGGCGACCGUGCGGCUCACUUGUUGCUUUCCUGAGAGCGAGAGGACUCCCAGCAAAGCCCGAACUCCUCUUUUAGCCCAGGCUGUGAACACUCGCCUUUGCUGCCCAGACCCGGCCUUGGGCCGCGGGCUGGAGGACCGCCAUGGCGAAAGGAGCCUUGCAGUUAGGAAGAAAUAAACAAGCAGGGCAGUGACCAGAGAGGUGGUUAGCCCUGUCCGGCUGGAAAUUGAACGAGGUGUUGGGCAAGGUGCAGUUUAAGAGAAGGGACGAGAUUCUCCGUCCUCGCGGAGCUAUUAGUGACCCAGGCGGUCUGGGAGUCUCUGAAAAGGCGCCAGGCAGUAACAGCCCCAGAUGCUGAGCUGUAACCCGCGCUGGGACUCCGGACAGGGAUCGGAUUCCUGAGACUUCUUUUCUUUAACGGAUGCCGAAGGGGAGGGUUGGACCUGGCAGCGCUGGCAUUCUAAGGACAUUCCUGGGGUGGCCCGGGACCUUGUGGGGAGCUGUGCGUCCAAGGUGCUGGGUGCACCGUCAUACCAUUCCACUUUUGUCUCCUGUCUUCUCAGGGACAGCCCUGUUGAAAUGGGCUAAGGGAACUCCUUGGCCUUUGAGGAUACAAUCAAGUUUACUUUGUGAUAUUCGAUCCAUGCAAAACAGUGUGGCUCUUGAAGCUUUGAAAUGAGAUGAUAAUCCCUGAAUCCAGCGCUUGAAUUUAAGAAUUUGAGCAAUACUAAUAGGUAACAAUUAUCAAUCCAUUCUGUUUCGGCUUUGGUUUAGAGAACAAGAUUACAGUGAUCCUCUGUGACAGCGUGUACGUCAGCAUGCUUGGCUUGUCCUUUUGUUUUUCAAGCAAUAAUUUAAAAUUCUGCAACUCCCAAAAGUUGGUAGUCUAGCUCACAGAGGUCCCACAAUUUUUGUUUGUAUCAGACAUAACAUUCUGUGAGAUCAGUCAGGGAAUUUAGAUGGUCUCACAGUGACUCCUGUCAUUGACCUACAGAAGUGGAAUAAACGGGGCUGAUUUUAAGACCGAAUCCAUGUUACCAUCAUCAAACAUCAUUCCCACUGUUGCUUAAAAGGGAUUUUAAAAAGGAAAAGACGCUGGCUUCCGAGAAGAGAAAGGAUAUAUCUAACAAGAUGGACUGCAAGAGAAACGCUUUCCAGAGGAUGUCAGGAGAUUUCAGUGACCCCAAGUAAUUAAGAGCACUGCUGUGCACAUAACUGGAAAGACAACGGCUUGCAUAAACUCAUAAUUAUCUCUGAUGUGGCCAAUUUAUUUAAUUAAAAAAAACCUCCUUUGAAUUAUUUCCAAAAUAACAGCAGUUCAGUAGGUUCACGAUUAGCUACUAAAGAGUUUGGUGAACAAAAGAAUAAAUUUUUAACAUAAAAUAUCACUGUUAUUUGAUUUUAGUUUCAAGUCCAAAUUUAGUAUUAAAAGUGGUAGGAAAAUAUUAAAUUUAGUUAUUUGACUUAUUUAUUAAGGAUAUUCUGCAAAUAAACAAGAAGUUCAAGUCUUAUUUUUAAUUCCCCAAAUUCACUAUGAAUGACAUCAGUGAGAUAAGAUGAACAGUAAGAUUACAGCUGUCAAAAACAGGAGGAGGCAGUCUCUGAAGCCUGCUGUCAGCAAGGUGUCCAUGAAAUUGACGGAAGAGGACAUCAAUCUAUUUAAAAUUUUCUUGUCAAUAGGUUUCUUCUUUGCUGGUUCCUUCUCCAUUGAUUUCUUAACCUGCUUUUCAUACUCCAUUUAACAUGUUUAAAUAAAAAAGAAGCCAAUGUGAAUGUCUUUUAAAUUAACACCAUCCUAAAGCCCUGAGGUCCCAUGAAUAAGUUUUUGCUCUGAACAUUUGGAAAUAAUCAUCACAGAGACAGCAUAAUGUCAGCUUGGUAGUUCUCACACUAUGAAAAUAUCAGCUACGUGUCAAAUAUCUAAAGCUUGCCUUAGUGUAAUAAAUCUUGUUGUAUUCACAAGCUACUGAAAAUUCUAAAUAUUUAAACGAGGAGUGAAUGUCUAGACAUGUGGAUGGAUGUCUACUUAGAGCACAGCCUCUUUCUCUCUCUCCACUCCUCUGCCCCAACAGUAUAUGAUUUGCUAGAACAAGAUUAUUUAUACACACAACUUUUCUAAGUAGCUCCUUCCCCAAGACCAUAAGGAGGAGAAGUUUCAAAUCUCUCACCUCCAGUUAAAACCACUAGCCCAAGAGAUAGUUCUUUUAAAUUUUCUGGGAAAACACUUCUACUCCUUUUAUCAUGAGUAGUAUGGAGACUUAAAUACUCAACUCAAUGUCUGAAAUUUUAAGUCAAACCCCACUUGGGCAUAGAAAUGAGAACACACAAUUUUACGAGUAUUAGGAGUGGGUAAGUGUUAGUAUCACAUCAAAAAAGCUGAGAAUUCUGAAAUGGGCGGGAUGUGAUAAGGAACAUUAUUGUAUUAAGACUAUGAGAAAAGUAAAAAUGCUUUCAAGAACCACUAAGAGUAAAGAACAAGAGAGUUACCGAGUGUCAAUUUGCUAAAUGAACCUGAACACCAAUAAGCUGUGCUACUGGUUUUGCCUGAAGCGUUUCUGUAUUUACUCAUUGCAUAAACUGUUCUUGUUGACUGUUGGCCUGGUUCCACAAGAUGAGUAUUCAGGUACAGAGGUGAAAGCAACAAUCCCAGACUUCUGUCUUUGGUCUAGACAAGUAAACCCAAUAUGCAACGUUUACACCUUCUUUCAUUACACUGUGGGUACAAGUACCACAUUUCCUUGCUGGUGUGAAGUUCAAUAUCAUGGGAUAGGUAAAAGCAAUGGGAUGCUGGGGUACCCAGAUAGAUACCUCCCACAACUUCCCAGAGCAGAAAUAGGUUUGUAAUGCCCAGGAACAUAGUAAGCUUCCAAAACAACAUAAAGGCCGUGGUGUUGAUCGCUCAUAGUGGUUUUGUUCUGUUACAGUGUGCAAGUCACAAAUCUAUUUUUCACCAAGAUAACAAUAUAAAAGCAAGUAAAAUUUAUGCGAAUUUGGCGCUGACUCUGUAACCAUAUCGUUUAGUAGAAAGAGCUGCCUCCACUGUGUCCUACUAAUGUGUACUCCCUCCAAAAGAUUGGUUACACGCUGCCUGUGAGAACCGUGCUUGAUUCUUAGGCAUGAGUGGUAUCAAAACAGUUCCAGCUUGCUUUGUGGGAAAACAGCCACACAGCCCAGGUCCGCUGGCAUAAAAGGUCAAUGCCUUAUCAAUGUUAUAAAAACAAAUCUUCAGUAUCAUUAGGGUUUUAGAGUUUGUCUACUUAAAGUAACACCCAAGGGCCACCCCAGUGGUUUAGUGGUUAAGUUCACUGGGCUCUGUUUCGGCGAGCGGGGUUCGUGGGUUUGGAUCGCAGGUGCAGAGCUAUACCACUCACCAAGCCGUGCCGUGGGGGUGACCCACAUACAAAAUAGAGGAAGAUUGGCACAGAUGUCAGCUCAGGUACAAUCUUCCUCACCAAAAAAAUAAGUAAAUAACACCCAAUACUUAAUUUUGGUUACUACUGUAAAUGGCUUCUUUUUAUUAUUAUAUUUUCCCACCAUGUAUUACUAAUUUAGCCAGUUUUUAUAAUCUGCAGGGGGAGGACAGAGUCUGUGUGACUUUUUAAAAAUCCUUUUCUCCAAAUUGAUACAGGGACUAUAAAUGAGUAGUAAAUUCUGCCACUUUGGCAAAAUAGAUUCCCAGUGGUUGAAAAUUGAAAGAGUAAUACAGUAAUAAUAUGAGGUCUGAGAUUUUCUUCAAAAUAAUGUUGGAAGGGGGAAGAGGCCGGGGUACAGACGAGGCUGAGGUGACCUGAGGUUAAUAAUGGGUGAGGCAGAGUUGUGAGUACAGAAGGAUUCGGUAUUUUCUUCUGUCUGUUUCUGUGUAUUUUAUUUUCUCUGUAAUAAAAGUUAAUUUUUAAAAUGUAGUCAGUAGAUAAUACAUCAAGAUACUUCAGUUUUGCAUAAUGCUCAACUAAGAGAAAAAAGACAGAAAUGAAGGGGGAAAAUAGGAGGAAAGGGAAAAGAAGCAGGGCUAAGUUGAGAGAACAGAGUUGGUAAAAGCUAUCAAGAGAAGAUAAUGAGUUCCAAAAUGACAGGUUCAACAUUCGUUCAAGAGUGAAAAGCACAGAAGCUAAAACUUCAGUGCCUGUAGCAAGAUGCAUGUGGGUUUCUCUUAGACAUGCCCACAGAGGGAGGCAGGCAGAGCUGUGGCGCUCCGCAAGGCAAGGACCCAACCCCCUCUCUUUUGUGGCUCUGCUCUGCACACCUUGAUCCCCACAGUCAUGCCAUGGGCUGGGGGAGCCACUGGAGUUCCAACCACCAAGUCCACAUCUUGUCAGGAGAAUGGGACCCAGUCAGAUCCCAUUGGCUGCUCCCAGCUGGUGGGCUGGAAAACGUCGCUUUUAUUCUGAGAGGCCAUGUACCCAGCUAAAAGUGGAGGAAGAAAUGAAGUAUUACUGUUAUUCCAUUCUUAUGGAGAAAGAGAAAACACUAUUGGGAGAUAGUGACAGUCCCCGCCGUAACAUCACAUCACAUCACAUCACAUCACAUAAUUCCGUAAAGCUCACCUGUUUCCCAUCCCUCCACCCUCACAGCCCCUAACCCUUUAUCUCGUUGACUCCCUUCGUUUUUCCCAUAUCGUCUACCAUUAUCUGAAGUGUCCUUGUGUGUUUGUUUAUGUGUGUCUUGUAGUUGCCCCACAGAGAGCGUGAGCACUCCCCCAGCAGCACCACCUAAUUAGUGCAGAUGUCCAGAGAGAUGAGGACACACGUGCACGCCAAGAGGGUCUGAAAGAUUUAUUGCUUACAUGCCAAGGUUUUCUGGGAAGAGCAGGGCAAUACAAAAUGGCCUGAAUGAAAACAGGUGAGCGGCUCCGGUGUUCCUUGUAGUUAGGGGGUGGGGCCGGGGUUAGAGUUCCUCUGUGCACCACUGGAGUUUUCGUGGUCUGAACAAGGGAGGGAGUGCCCAGACUUGCUUACCUAGUUGCCCAGAGGCAGGGCAGAAAGGGAAAGGGGGUAGGACUUGAAAGCUGUCAGCAGUCAAUCAAACAUCAAAAACAGAGUCAGACAUGUUUAUUGUCUGUCUCCACUAGGAUUUUAACUUCCAGGAAGCCAGGGGCCAUAUCAGUCUUAUUGGCCUCUGUAUCCUGCACGUCUACAACAGCACCUGGCAAGUUACGAAUUCAGUAAACAUUUGUUGAUACGAAUAAACUCAUUGCAAAGUUUAUAAACUCUUCAUGUGAUUGCUUAUCCAACAGAGUCAGAGUGCACCUACUAUAUGCUAGUGACUUUCCAAGGCAUCCCGUGACUGAAUAAGGUACAGUCCUUGCCCUCCAAGAGUUCCAAAUCCAUUUGGGAGAGGCAUCAGUCUUUCCUGGGGCGGGGUGAUGAGUGUUCUGCCAGGUGAAUGGAAGGCCAUCAGAGAAGGGCCAGGAAGCCUGUUGGCCAUUGCAUUAGAGGGUUCCCAUCAUAGGGUAAGGGGAGGAGGAGGAAAGCUCGAGGAAAAGGUGGCUGGAAAGACAGUUCUCUGCUUUCAUUCGUCAACAAGUGUUUGCUGAGCACUAUGUGCCAUUACUCUGUACCAACUAUUAUCCCAGGUCCCAGGGAAACUGGUUUGUGACACAGACCUCUUGGAAGGUGUAGUGUAAUGGGGCAGACAGGUCUUAAAAGGUCAAACAUUUGGUAAUCAGCAGCCUAUUGAGAUCAUGGGAAUAGAUGAGGCUGUCUGUCUGCAUCUCAAGAAUUUCACAAUGAGGGUGAUGUAUUUCCCAGCAAUGGAACAGGGAAGCAUUGGUUUGCCAGUCCUUCUAAUGUGACCUGGAUCAAAACAAUAGUCCCUUUGUGGCAAUGUUUCUGUAUUUCCCUGUGGUUGUUUUUCACUGUUUGGUUUCAUUCUGUUUUUAGUGGGGAGAAAAAUCAAGCCAAGAAAACAAAAAAAAAUUUCCUUUGUGGCACUAUUACCACCUGGAAGGGUCUCUCUGUGUCCCUGUCAUGUCAUUUCUCUCUCUCUCCAGUGGUGAUACAAAAACUAUCUAAAAAUAAAAAGGCUGGGCUAGAAUACUUUGUUUAUUGUUAUUUCGGAUAAAAUCCUGCUAUAUUUACGUGGUUUUCAUUGCCCUUUGAAACAUUGAUUGGCCAAUAAUUUCUUCACUGACAGGUUCAUUAGUUUUAAAAGGAACAUUAUACUUCUAGAUGAAGCACAGCCAAGUCUCCUACUCCUGGGACCAUAUUAGCAAAUACUUUGACCUUUUCUCCUUCUCCUCUUUCACAAGAUACUUUGCCACUUCUUUGCCUAGCGAAUUCUUAUUCAUUCUUCAGGUCUGAAUCCCACCCCUCCUCCUAAUCAGAGUUGAGGACCCCUCCUAUAUUGCCCCGUCGCUCAUCAUAUUUAUACACUUGUCAGACUAUAUUGUAAUUGCUCACGUGUCUACAACCCCGGUAGAGAAUGACUUUCAUGAGAUAAGGGAGGUUUUGCAAGCCGUCUUUGUUCUCUCUCCAAGUCUUCACACAGUGAAGGCGUAUGAAAGGCACUCAAAAUUUUAGAUUGAGUCAAGAAUGAAUGAAUGCAUUACAGUAUCUGAAUAAAUGGAUUAUGGUUCACUUAUUACCUCUGCUCUCGACCCAUCAGAUUUUAUCAUCCUUUGAAUGUGCUGAUACACCUUAGUAUUAAGCAAGAAGAUUAUUACCCAUAUCUUUACUCAAAUUACGUUCAGAGUAAUGAAGAAAUAUUAAUGGGCAAAGGAAAUAGUGGAUUACUCCUAACAAAGCCCCACAGUUUCAUACAGGGGAAUAAAAGGGAGGAAAUAUACAUAUUAUAUACAUAGUUUAUUGUUACCUUUAUAGUAACUUUUUACAUUUGAGUAAUAGGCACCCAUGGUUGCCACUUUGCUUCGCUAUAUAUUAAAGAAAAAAUGAAUUUUUAAGUAAUUAUUAUAGCUAAUACACAAUUCAAAGUUUUGACAUUACUGGGCUAAGUCUGGAAGUCAUGUGGUAGGUAAAUCUAUAUAGUGUUUAUGUCCCAAAUGGAAAUGGGACACCACAUGGUACCUGAUCCAGCCUGGAUAGAAAUAUAUUGUAUUUCCACCAGAAUGUGUGACGAGGGUAUUAUAUUUCAUUUACUAUUCAGGUUAACAUUAGUCAUUUUAAAAAUAACAAAGUCACCUGAAGACAGAAUAGUGAUAUAUAGCAGUGUAGCCGUAUCAAUUAAAAUUAAGAAGCUACAAGACUUAGAUUUUUAACUGUAUAACUUAUGAUCACUUAAGAAAUUUUUUCUUCUCUUUUUCUGAUACUCCAAUAUGUUGUUGAUUCGUGACUUAAAAGACCAGAUUAUAUUGAAGGGGACAGGUGGAUACCCUGGAGAGGGGCCCAGGGAAAUUUUUGUCAUGAUAGAAAUGUGCUAUUUCUUGAUUGAGGUGGUAGUCAUGAGUUUUUGCCCUUUAACCAUACCAUUAAGACGUGUGCUUUUUGUUUUAUGUAUGGUAUACCUCAAUUUAAAAAAAAAAAAAGAUAUUGAGAGGAUAAGGACUUGUUAAUAAGUUCACAAUACUUUAUAAGAUUCCUUUUUUUCUGAAUUUGAGCUGAGGAUACUCUCAGCUUGAAAUUUGAAAGAAAUUAUUCUUCAAAAAACUCUGUAAGCCUUGCUACUGCUUGAUUUUUAUGUUAAAACAACAAAUCUUGGCAAGAAAAAGCUAUAGGUUUCAACUAUCUUCAAAUGGCACCAACUUGUCUCCUUGAGUGGGGUGUUGAUAGAGCUGAAGAAAACCAUUCCUUCAUGCAGGGCAAGUUGCUUUUAGCCUAAAAGCUCAGCCUACUGUUUUCUGUUGAUGUGGGGAAAAAAAUGUAAUUGAUACAAGCACGCCUCAGUUUAUGCAGACUAAAGAGUGAUUAUUCAAAUAUUUUUAAUGCACUAAACAAGCUUACUAUUUCAAAUAAUUUUAUGACUCUUUUUUUGGCUAAGUGAGGGACCUGUUGUGAUGCGGGCCAUCUACCAUUUGUACAUCAAUUCUUGGACGCACAUAUUUUUCACAUUUAACUUCACAUCAAAACUUGCAGAAUGGGUAUUAGCAACUUGGAAAAAAUCCUAGAAUCCUAGUGUAAGUGAAGCAUCUUAUUUCAAAGAAAUGCUCUCUCCCCGAUGCUCUUGAUGGAACAAAGGAUGAUGUAUAUGAGAAAACACAGACACAGAUGCCUCUAAGUUACUCUGUGAUUCACAGUCAUCAGACACAGAAGGUGAAGGAGUUGCAGGAAUAGUUUAACUAAUUAUUUUCCUUAUAUCUCCCUUUUUAGGUAUAUACAUGAGUGAUAUUUGAUAACGUACAUCUAAAUAAGUCUAAAACAGCUUUUUCAAGUAUAAAAUAAAAAUUUCAAGUGCUAAGAAAGUGAACCAUAGAAUAAUUGGCAGCAUAUUUUCUUUUGUAGUGGCACAUAAAAUAAUGGUCCAUCUUACAACUGAUAGCAUCUUAGAUUCUAUCAAAACUGGUCCUUGUGCUUUUUGGAUGUUGGCUUUUCAGCCAAAGGGAUGAUGGAGGAGCAGGGAGGAAAGACCUGUAAUCAAAUGGUAUCUUAAAUGUAUAAUAAUAACAAUGCUAUUUAUUGAGUAGCUACUAUAGGCCAGCUGCUAUGCUAAGUGCCUUAUGUAUAUCAUUACACGUAAUUCUCUCCCCAAAAGCCUGAGAGAGACUUGUUGUUUAACUGACUUUUAUCCUUUCAGAGCCAUUAAGCAAUAUGUCCAAGGUAAGUUUGCAAAACUGAAUUUGAACCUAGUUUUGACAGACUCCCAAAGCUCUUGAUCUUUGUGUACUGUCUUCCCUUGCCUCUCCCCACACCCCACCAUCCCCCAGAGUUCAAAGGGAAAGCUUAAAGAGGGUGGAGAGAGAGAAUGAGAAUCCCAGCAUCGUUCAGUUCCUGUUCAGGUUGCUUUUGAAGACGUUUCGUCGCUGAUGUGGUGACGCCGUCUUCCUUCAGUCAGCAUACAGAAGUUCGUACAAUUCAUAUGAAUUUUCACAAAGUGAACUCACCCGUUUAGCCAGCACUGAGAUCAAGAAACAGAGCCCUGCAGAAGCCCAGCAGCCUCCACCCUGCCCUGCCGUCGUCACCCAGCCCCUCACCCCUCUGCAAGGCCUCUCCUGAUUACAUUGGAUCCAGGUGGGUAGGACAUGGACAUCUUUGGGGAACCAUUGGUCGGCCUACCACACCAACCCUCUGAAGUUACGUUCGGCUCCCGUCCUCCAGUACACUUCAUCCCUGCCACCUCAGCGAAGUAAAGCGGAAACUCAAUGUCCUUUUACCCCGUGAUCUCAACUCAAAGACGUUUACAAAGUAAACUCCUGGAGCGUAGGGAUGGACCAGCUUCGUUACUGUUUUCCCACCACCGGAAUAAUCUUGGAUACUCAGUGGACACUCAGUGACUACUUGUCAGUUGAAGGAACGCGUGAAGGAGUAUUCCCUACAUCCUGACAUCCCUCCUGCGAGGUGAGGAGCAGCCGUGUGACAUGGGAGGACCUGAGGAUAACUGCCUGCAGCUGUGGUUUUACUCCAUACUCUGAUCUUCACCAAAACACGUACGGUCUCUCUAUACCUCCAUUUCCUCACCUGGUAAAUGAGGUGGCUGGCACAAGUAAUAUCUAGAGUAUCUAGCCAGCAUUAAUAUUCAUUUUAAAUGGAAACAAUCCUUAAGGUAAAAAGUAAAGUGAAAAGGUCAGAAUUCAAAAUUCUAUAAAUGGCAUGAUUUAAAUUGACUGUAAAAUUAUGCACCAUACUAAUAUAAAUGUUAGCAAAAAGGGGAAACUGGGUUUAAGAUACAUGGGCAUUCUGUACUAUCUCCACAAUUUUUCAAUGAAUUUAAAACUGUUCUAAAAUAAAAAGUUUAUUUUUUAAAA
Equus caballus (horse) is the source of this 9889-nucleotide non-coding RNA. The record is from RefSeq and is a predicted model, not a curated record. NCBI's taxonomy places the organism in Eukaryota, Metazoa, Chordata, Mammalia, Perissodactyla, Equidae.